RNAcentral lists this long non-coding RNA (719 nucleotides) under Vigna radiata. Its description in RNAcentral is "long non-coding RNA (VRAD_LNC013800)". Lineage: Eukaryota; Viridiplantae; Streptophyta; Magnoliopsida; Fabales; Fabaceae. The record is from RNAcentral.
GACGAUCAAUUGUAUUUUGCUUUUGUGCUAUAAUGCAUUGCUAAUUACUUGGGGAGACUAGGGAUAGUAAGCCAGUACUAGUAAUAGGCUCUUUUCACCGAGAGAUCGGGUUUAGGGUAGGCUAAGAAAGUUUGCAUGAUAAUUUGAUAAUAAAGUGAAUUUAAUAAGAAAAGUAGAUAUAUGAGAGUGAUUGGGUGAAAUCUGAACCCUAGCGACAAACCCAUCUCAUAUUAUCAACAUCAUCCAUCUACUUUUGUGUCUAACCUCAAUUGAUCAAAUUGCAUUCAUGUUUAUUUUUCCGUACUUUAUAUUCAAAAACCCCAAAAUAUUGUUCUUAUAGUCUUGAUUGGUUAAGCAAAAGCACCAUAGUUUAAUGCCAUGAGUCUCUUGGGAAAACGAUACUUGGACUUACCAUUUAUUAUUACUUGAUACGAUCUGGUACACUUGCCAGAGUGUUAACAACAAGCAAAACGGUGCAGAAAAAAACAAACCCUAAAUCCUACAUGCAAAACGGUGUAAAAAAGACCUUACACGUAAAACUGUGUAAAAAAACCCUAAACCCUAAACCCAAAACAAUAAAACCUACAUCCAAAACGGUGUAAAAAAAGAAAAAACCUUACACGUAAAACGAUGUAAAAAAAAUCUAAAACCUAAACCCUACAAACGAAACGGUGUAAAAAAAAGAAAAAAUCUUCCACGCAAAAGAGUGUAAAAAAAAC